Molecule: long non-coding RNA, 263 nt
Filed under: Panax ginseng (ginseng)
Lineage: Eukaryota; Viridiplantae; Streptophyta; Magnoliopsida; Apiales; Araliaceae
Description: long non-coding RNA (PGIN_LNC002138)
Source: RNAcentral
GGCGUCUUGUGCUUACAUGCUAGAGAGAUAGAUAUAGAGCAAUGACAAGCUUUGAAAGAACAGAAUCCCAAAACAAAUUAUCUACCAUAAAUACUUGCCUGAUUUGGAAGCUCCAUCAGUCUCUGCAAAUAAUCUGAUAUUCAUCCUUCGUACAGUUUUUUGCUCAACUUGAUUAGCACAACUGAUUACCAACCCUUCGUACAGUUUGUGCGAAGUACCAUCUCCGAUAAUUUUUUUACAAAUUAUACUAAUGUAAGGAUUCU